UAGCAUAUCAAUAAGCGGAGGAAAAGAAACUAACAAGGAUUCCCCUAGUAACUGCGAGUGAAGCGGGAAGAGCUCAAAUUUAAAAUCUGACAGCCUUUGGCUGUUCGAGUUGUAAUCUAGAGAAGUGUUAUCCGCGCUGGACCGUGUACAAGUCUCCUGGAAUGGAACAUCAUAGAGGGUGAGAAUCCCGUCUUUGACACGGACUUCCAGGGCUUUUGUGAUACGCUCUCAAAGAGUCGAGUUGUUUGGGAAUGCAGCUCUAAAUGGGUGGUAAAUUCCAUCUAAAGCUAAAUAUUGGCGAGAGACCGAUAGCGAACAAGUACCGUGAGGGAAAGAUGAAAAGAACUUUGGAAAGAGAGUUAAACAGUACGUGAAAUUGUUGAAAGGGAAACGCUUGAAGUCAGUCGCAUUGACUAGGGAUCAACCUUGCUUUUUUGCUUGGUGUACUUCCUAGUUGAUGGGCCAGCAUCAAUUUUGACCAGUGGAUAAAGGUCAAAGGAAUGUGGCAUCUCUGGAUGUGUUAUAGCCUUUGAUUGUAUACAUUGGUUGGGAUUGAGGAACUCAGCACGCCGCAAGGCCGGGUUUCGACCACGAUCGUGCUUAGGAUGCUGGCAUAAUGGCUUUAAUCGACCCGUCUUGAAACACGGACCAAGGAGUCUAACAUGCCUGCGAGUAUUUGGGUGGCAAACCCAUGUGCGUAAUGAAAGUGAAGAUCAGGAUCUCUGUCAUGGAGAGCACUGAUGCCCGGACCAGACCUUUUGUGACGGAUCUGCGGUAGAGCAUGCAUGUUGGGACCCGAAAGAUGGUGAACUAUGCCUGAAUAGGGUGAAGCCAGAGGAAACUCUGGUGGAGGCUCGUAGCGAUUCUGACGUGCAAAUCGAUCGUCAAAUUUGGGUAUAGGGGCGAAAGACUAAUCGAACCAUCUAGUAGCUGGUUCCUGCCGAGCUCUUUCUCACCAAGGAAAA
This 965-nucleotide ribosomal RNA is filed under the name Tricholoma sp. RNAcentral's name for it is "partial large subunit ribosomal RNA". It matches the Rfam family "Eukaryotic large subunit ribosomal RNA", at positions 36 to 983 of the family's 3401-position model. Lineage: Eukaryota; Fungi; Basidiomycota; Agaricomycetes; Agaricales; Tricholomataceae. The record is from RNAcentral.